AGACAGCAGGACGGUGGUCA
This 20-nucleotide small nuclear RNA is filed under the name Arabidopsis thaliana (thale cress). Its description in RNAcentral is "snRNA_17963". Lineage: Eukaryota; Viridiplantae; Streptophyta; Magnoliopsida; Brassicales; Brassicaceae. The record is from RNAcentral.